CACACCGCCCGUCACACCACGAAAGUUUGUUGUACCUGAAGUCGUUGGCGCCAACCGCAAGGAGGCAGACGCCCACGGUAUGACCGAUGAUUGGGAUG
RNAcentral lists this ribosomal RNA (98 nucleotides) under uncultured bacterium. Its description in RNAcentral is "partial 16S ribosomal RNA". It matches the Rfam family "Bacterial small subunit ribosomal RNA", at positions 1386 to 1482 of the family's 1533-position model. The record is from RNAcentral.